UAAAAUCAUGUGUGAAGAGCAAGUGUCUCCCAUUCAGAAUAGCUCAGCUUAAUAAAUCUCCCAGUAAGUCAACAAACAAGGUCUUGCUCAUGUCACGGGUGACAAAAACGCUCAGCAAGCGGAACCCUCUUGACGAGUCACGAGUUUCCCGAGGGAACGAUUUGUGUGCGACACAUCCCACUCCGGUUCCGGGUGCGGCAGAAACAUUGUCCGGCCUGAUUAGCGCUAAUGCACUGCAGGUUCGAGAGAGAGAGAGGAGCGGUGUGCACAUAGGCUUCCUGCUUUACAAGCAAAGGAUAAAAGGGCUAUUCAGAGGAGUUUCGGCGCGCGGUGGGUCUUUGUGGAGCAGUUUUGGGCACAAGCUUGCCCAGGGAAGUUAUUUGGGUGUGAAGGUUUCCUGUUGAAGUCUCCGGGGAAAUGGUUUUUCUAUUGAAGUCUGCUGGAACAGAGUUCGUCUGUGGGAAUCUGCUGGACUGAUUUAUCGAUUGGAUCUGCGCUGUGAAGGGAGAGAGAAAGAUAAGUUAAUUGAUUUCAUCUUACAAACAUUCGAAAAGCUUGAAGAGGAUACAGUGAAUGUAAAUCUGACUGUUGGGGAAGCUAUGUGUUUCAGAGUGUGCUGAAGAGGAAUUGAGGAUUGAAUAUCCCCCACGGGAGUGUAACGAAUGGAUUGAGACCUCUGAUCAGCCUUACCGUGUGAGUGAAUUGCAGUGCUUUUGCCUUAUUGUUACACAUUGAUUCAUUGCUGUGGAUUUGUGGUGAACAUGAGUGUGGUGUGCUUUUGCUGAGAAGUAGUCCCAACCCCUGCUUACACGUUUGUGAAAAGUUAUGAUACCUGCUCUCCAUUAGAAUCCCUUACCUGUCUAUUUACCGUCUGAGUCCUGGAAGUAUGCAGCAUCGCUGGUGAAGUAAGCUUUUAAGCCACUGUCUCACUGACGUGCACUGACGCCAGUAUCCUGUACUGAGAAGACUUCUUACCUCCCUACGUACCGUCUGAGUCUGGAAGUACGCAGCAUCGCUGAGGAAGUAAGCUUUUAAAUUAUUCUUUCUAAUGUACCCUGAUGAAAGAAUUCUGUACUGCGAAGAACCCUGACCUGUCUACUCACCGACAGAGUCCUGAAGAAUGCAACAUUGCUGGUGAAGUAAGCUUUUAAACCACGGUCUCACUACUGUGUAUUGACGCAAGUAUCCUUGACUGAGAAGUAUCCUUAUCUGUAGACUCACUGCCCAAGUCUUGAAGAGAGCCGCCCUAUGGGUGAAGUCGCCGUCAGGGCGAAACUGCGACGUACGAUCAGUACCUAUCCGUAGCUGAAGAAGACCUAGAGGACACUGAAGUCUAUCACGCUUGUGCUCACUGAUAUAUUGUGCUCAAUAAAGAUUGUUAUUCCUUUGAAGUUACCUCUUGU
Long non-coding RNA from Cyprinus carpio (common carp), 1403 nucleotides. The record is from Ensembl. Lineage: Eukaryota; Metazoa; Chordata; Actinopteri; Cypriniformes; Cyprinidae.